Long non-coding RNA from Betta splendens (Siamese fighting fish), 1170 nucleotides. RefSeq lists it as uncharacterized. The transcript is spliced from 2 exons. The record is from RefSeq and is a predicted model, not a curated record. Lineage: Eukaryota; Metazoa; Chordata; Actinopteri; Anabantiformes; Osphronemidae.
UGAUCAGAUCAAUGAUGUAUGAAUGAAAUCUGUUCUGAAUUUGAUGAGGACGUGCUUCACAAUAAAGUCACACUACACUGUAUGUUGUUAGGAAGUAUGUGCCAAAGCCACCGAGAUGCUUCAACUGCCAAAGGUUUGGGCAUAGAGCUGCAAUAUGCAAGAUCAUGAUCAUGGACAGUUGUAAUGGGAAAAUUUUGCCUUGUGCUAUUUCUUAUCCAACACACUCGUCAUGUGCUGGUUAGGUGCAAUACUGAACUGAACAUUCUUACACAAACAAAUAAUCUCUUGUGCCCUGUCGUACAUCAAGUCUAAACAUCUGAUGUUCCAUUUGACUGACUAAUAAUUUAUGAUAUAUGUUUGUCUUUUACACCCGGACUCUGGCUCCAUCCUAUCUGACUCCCCACCAGACACAAGGCUGUUAAAGCCAAUGCAUCUUGCCUUGAAGCUCGGUGUUCCUUCCUUUGGAUAACAAGACACGAUGAUGCAGAAGUGAGAAAGCAAACAUUCUCACUCACAGCGAGAUAAGGUGGCACAAACAAUUCUAUUGCUGCAGAGAGACAUUCCACCAGAGCCAGAGAAAGGGGUUAAAAGGCAGAAGCAACUUGAGGAUCGUGGGCUCUUUGCAUCACACCUUCGUGGUGUGUGCACUGAUCUCCCAGCUGGUUUUUGGUUUGUUGAUGUGCACGAUCAACAUCCAUGCUUUUUAUUUGCUUUCCCCAUUAUUUUUAUUUUCUUUAUUAUUUCAAUAAAUCGCACAAAAGGACAACUCUCUCUCAUCUACUUCUUUAUGGAAAAUUUCCACCACAGAAAUUGGCGUCUACGAACAGGAUCCCGCUGCAGGUCGUCUGGACGGUGUGGCCAGGGACGAUAGUCCUGAGGACUAGGGUCGCUCAGCCUCCAAACCUCUACAGCUGUUCUGAGUGGGAGGACUGCUCACCCGUCUGGAUUGCCUCCGACGAGAUCCAACGAACACAAAAUCCAACCUCUACUCGGCCCGUUCCACACGUCCCUCUGUGAAAACAUGAUGGAGACAGAUGCAGGACGUGGGUCCUUUCGUGAACAGAUGUCAACGGGGUGGAGACUGGUGAACGACUUCUGACCCCAUGUGACGUAUUCACCUACUUUGCAUACUUUUAGAAAACUUUUUUUUAUUCUGCCCGUCAUGUGCAG